RNAcentral lists this ribosomal RNA (253 nucleotides) under uncultured bacterium. RNAcentral describes it as "partial 16S ribosomal RNA". It matches the Rfam family "Bacterial small subunit ribosomal RNA", at positions 524 to 776 of the family's 1533-position model. The record is from RNAcentral.
UACGUAGGGGGCGAGCGUUGUCCGGAAUUACUGGGCGUAAAGCGCGCGCAGGCGGUCCUUCAAGUCAGAGGUGAAAGCCCAGAGCUCAACUCCGGAACGGCCUUUGAGACUAGAGGACUUGGGUACGGGAGAGGUGAGUGGAAUUCCGAGUGUAGAGGUGAAAUUCGUAGAUAUUCGGAAGAACACCAGUGGCGAAGGCGGCUCACUGGCCCGUUACCGACGCUCAGGCGCGACAGCGUGGGGAGCAAACAGG